AUUUUUCUAUCAUGAUAUAUCUACAUGACUGCAUUGAAUUUAUGCUAUUUGUUUUGGUUCCUUACACUAUAGUGUUAUAGAAGCUGGAUUCCUAUAGGAAAUAUGAUUAGUUCCUCUUGAAAGUAAAUGCAAUUUCUUCCAUUCCCAACAGCAAUAUUAAUCUUGGUUUUCUUAUCAGCAUGAGCUGUUUUUUAAUUUAUCGAGUGAUGAUAAGAUAUGCUUAUGUGACCAAUGAAGUAGAUGAUGAUUAAAACCUAAAAUGACUUUGAUGAUUCCAAAUAAAGAAAGUAAAGCUUGUAUGCAGAAGGUGCAUUUAACAUGGUGGAAGCUUCUGAUAUUCGUGCUUGUGGCAGUUAAGAUUCUGAGGCAUGUAAUCAUGUAUAUUACCCUUUAAAAAUGAAUUCAGUUAUGAAAUGUCAUUAUGGCAAUAAUUUGAUCAAGUGAACAUGAAAGAAUUGAGUUUCACCAUCUAGAGACGUUAGAUUAGUUGAUAAUAAAUUUAAUAUUUU
RNAcentral lists this unclassified non-coding RNA (509 nucleotides) under Hevea brasiliensis (rubber tree). Lineage: Eukaryota; Viridiplantae; Streptophyta; Magnoliopsida; Malpighiales; Euphorbiaceae. The record is from RNAcentral.